Molecule: long non-coding RNA, 256 nt
Filed under: Vigna radiata
Lineage: Eukaryota; Viridiplantae; Streptophyta; Magnoliopsida; Fabales; Fabaceae
Description: long non-coding RNA (VRAD_LNC008012)
Source: RNAcentral
AGAAAAAAAUGCAGAGUAGAUCACCGUUGGUCGCCCGGGCGACGGACGCUCGAAGCUUGGGCGUCCAAAUCUGACGCCCAAGCCUAUCAUGCUCCUUAAAUAUCGCCCAAGCGAGCUCCCUACGAUGCCUGGGCGAUACAUGACCAGGAUCAGGCCCUGUUUCUGCUCUGUUUUGAUUCUUUCGGACCGGAGCGCACUUUGGGACACGUCUGACACUAUUUAAAGGACCCUGGGGCUCUAGGUUUUGCAUCCCUGG